UAUCUGUCUAUAUCUGUCUAUCUCUUUCUCUCAUGUUUAGGUUUCCAUAACAAAAAGAAAAGGUCUUUCAGUCCCUAAGUCAGCAUUCUGAGUAGCAGAACCACAUUUAGCUGUAGUAAGUCCACCCAGGCUUGCCCCAUCCCACUGUGUCUCUUUGAUAAGGCCUGAAUUCCCUAGAUAAGGUAUAAAGUCCCUAAACAAAGUCCUCCUUGCUCCAUACCUGGGGUCUUUGUUCUAGCACUGACCCAAGCUCACAUACCUGAGCUACACCCCUGAGUGUGACUUUUAUGGCGGCUGGGGCUUCCCAAAGAUCUGGAGAGAGAAAAGGUCAGGUAGAAAUGGAAGAGUGGCUGUGCAGAAACAGGAGCUUGGUUAUCAGAGAGAAUUCAGCACAUGGUUACCUCAGAAAAGUCAAUAAGUUCUAGGGAGGCAGCGGCUGAGUGGAAAGGAGUUCUUAGGCUAAGCUGGGAGUUUGGAAGCUAGACAGGACAAAAAUCAAGUUCACAAACUACAAUCAAGAAGAAUACAUCUGAACCUUGCCCUUCAGGUUUGCAAACCACAAAGACUUGUGGGGACAUCAGAAGAAGGAUGACCCAAGUAUGGAAUGAUGCCAUUAGAUCCUGGAGAAGAAGACAUCAGCAGCUAGGAUGUACCCUCUAGUCCUUGUCAGAGACUGCAAGAAGCACAUUCUCUGGAGGAGCCCACACACAUUGAUUAUGGAGUCAUCAAAGUCCAAUGGUGUGACAAAAGUCAAGACAACUGGUGAUGACUCGGGAUGCAGUGGAUGUCUUUGGCAUUUCUGAUGUCUGACCAAGCUCUAGAUCUUUCACAUCCCCUGCUGCAGUUGCCUUCAUGACUGUUAGAACAAAUUAUUCUCAUAUACUUCUGCUGGGGGAAGACUUCACAUGCCUGGGUAGACACCCCUCUUACACAUUUGAGAGUAAGGUUUGAAACCUCUCCUUACUCUCAAUCAGGUUGUAGAUAAGUUACAAUUUGACUUGGUAAAGGAAUUUUCUACAAUCACAGAACCUUCAAAUAAUAGAGGUUUA
This 1049-nucleotide long non-coding RNA is filed under the name Monodelphis domestica (gray short-tailed opossum). RNAcentral's name for it is "lncRNA (ENSMODG00000032838.2)". The record is from RNAcentral. Lineage: Eukaryota; Metazoa; Chordata; Mammalia; Didelphimorphia; Didelphidae.